AUGUGAUUUGAUUUUUGGGGCUUUUAAUAAAGGGGACCCAUUUGGUUUGGUAAUGUAACAGGUGAAUAUUUACUUAUCGUGAAGGCUAUGAGCUAGGUCGUGCAUGUCCUAUAAUAAACUAAACAGGUGCAGCUAACGGUACAAGGCAUACCGGUAUGUGGAUAUUAGCUUGUUCAGUAGCCAGUCCGCAGCUGCUUUCCAUGUGCACGCUGUUAAAAGGCACUGUCAACUAACACCAAAACACUCAAUCACUGUACAGUCGACUUUCCACCCACAGGUCAUUUGCACACAUACUAUUAGUUUAAUGGUAUGCUUCUAAUCCAGUUAUGUUAGCUUUGCAAAUCUAGCAGCUCUUGCUAGUACCACAGCAGCGUCUGUAGUCUGUCUGUCAGCCAUCUAACAAAUAGUGGGCAAGCUCAGCUAUGUUACCGGCGGCAGUAGGAUCUUGGCCCUAGCCUAGGGAAAGUUUGUACCGGCGGCAGUAGGGCUUGGCCCUAGCCUAGGGAAAGUGUGUACCGGGGGCAGUAGGGCUUGGCCCUAGCCUAGGGAAAGUUUGUACAAGGUCUGAGGCAAACCAAAUGUAACUUUAACUGUGAACUAUUAAUGUGGUUUCAAUUCAUUCUGUUUUUAUUGCAGGGGAUGAAAUGUUCAGACAUUUACAAGAUCAAAUAAUCACCAAAUGGGAUCUUGUUCGAAGUUCAGGGAAAGGAUGCGUCUCCAAUGCAGUCUUGGCUCAUCGCUGCAACUCCCAUAUGGACUCGGGAGAGGUGAAGGGCCCGGGUCUCCACAGGAGUCGCUAGAGUGAGAUGGGACAAGGACAUCCUUGUCAGCCAAACACUCCCCCAACCUGGACGACGCUGGGCCAAUUGUGUGCCGACCCAUGGGUCGCGGCCGGCUGCAACAGUGCCUGGACUUAAACCAGGAUCUCUAGUGGCACAGCUAGCAACUGCAAUACAGUGCCUUAGACCACUGCACCACUCGGGAGGCCACAAUAAGGUGUUUGACAGUAUUGAGACCCAACCACUGAGAGACUCAGCACUCACUCUCUUCCCUCCCCCCCCCCCCCCCCCCCUCUCUUCCUCCGGUCCUCCCUUCAGAUGGUCAGUAGAACAUUGAUGACUCUUUGCUGGGGGUGAAUGCGUCGGCAGAAGUGCAGGAUGACGUCUGUGAGUCCAGCACGGUCAAUGGAGUGGACAUCGUCCUCAACCACAGACUGCAAGAGGCAUCCUUCACCAUGGACUCAUACGAGGGAUAUAUCGAGGACUACAUGAAGGCGUGAGUGUGUUAGUAAGGGGUGUAUGUGUGAUGUUAGGGCUAACCUAUCAAUCCCCCUUUGCACCCCGCAAAGCUGUAAUUGUAAAUUUAAAACAGUCACUAUUUGAAAUUUAACACAGUUUAAGGUGCAUGUGUGCGCACACGAUCAAGGCUAAGCUGGAGGAGAACAACCCAGAUGGAGUGAAGCCCUUCACGACUGGAGCUCAGGAGGAGAUCAAGAUGAUCAUGGGCAACAUGAAGAACUACCAGGGGAUGAAAUGUUCAGACAUUUACAAGAUCAAAUAAUCACCAAAUGGGAUCUUGUUCGAAGUUCAGGGAAAGGAUGCGUCUCCAAUGCAGUCUUGGCUCAUCGCUGCAACUCCCAUAUGGACUCGGGAGAGGUGAAGGGCCCGGGUCUCCACAGGAGUCGCUAGAGUGAGAUGGGACAAGGACAUCCUUGUCAGCCAAACACUCCCCCAACCUGGACGACGCUGGGCCAAUUGUGUGCCGCCCCAUGGGUCGCGGCCGGCUGCAACAGUGCCUGGACUUAAACCAGGAUCUCUAGUGGCACAGCUAGCAACUGCAAUACAGUGCCUUAGACCACUGCACCACUCGGGAGGCCACAAUAAGGUGUUUGACAGUAUUGAGACCCAACCACUGAGUGACUCAGCACUCACUCUCUUCCCUUCCCCCCCCCCCCCCCCCCCCCCCCCUCUCUUCCUCCGGUCCUCCCUUCAGAUGGUCAGUAGAACAUUGAUGACUCUUUGCUGGGGGUGAAUGCGUCGGCAGAAGUGCAGGAUGACGUCUGUGAGUCCAGCACGGUCAAUGGAGUGGACAUCGUCCUCAACCACAGACUGCAAGAGGCAUCCUUCACCAUGGACUCAUACGAGGGAUAUAUCGAGGACUACAUGAAGGCUUUAAGGUGCAUGUGUGCGCACACGAUCAAGGCUAAGCUGGAGGAGAACAACCCAGAUGGAGUGAAGCCCUUCACGACUGGAGCUCAGGAGGAGAUCAAGAUGAUCAUGGGCAACAUGAAGAACUACCAGGUGAGUCUAUGAACCCAGAUGGUAUGGUUGGUCUGCUGGACAUCCGUAAGGACAGCAUCACUCCCUUCAAAGACGGCCUGGAGAUGGAGAAAUGCUUCAGUCCCUUCAGUCUAUUUGUGUAAUAAUAACACUUGUUAUAACCACUGUCCUUCCUCCUCUCUUUCAUAGUAAUACUCAGGUCUCAGAACUUUGUUUCUAUUAGCUGCUGUAUCUCACCUGACCCACGACCAGGAACCAACCAGACGACGACUCUGCAUUAUGUUUGGAAUGGAAGUAUUAUAUGAUGCCCAAACCAAGUCAUGUCUAUGGGGUUGACAGAAAGGGUGCUGUGACAGUUAUGGUAUUGAUCUUAUUGAUUAUGGUGUUCAACUUUGAGUAUUGCAGUGUUCUGUUAACUGGUAUAUUCAGGAAGUACCCGUCAGAACAUUCGGAUAAAAAUGUAUAGAGUAGAGCAGAUAUGCCUCUGUCAUGCAGAAUACACAAUAUGUUACAUUUCUAUCUGGGACAUUCUAUAUGUCUCACAGUUUGCUGUGGGAUGAUUUUUUAAACUCUGUGAAGACAAUGUUUCCAUCCACUUAUCUGUUGUUGAUUAACUCUCAGGCCUCCAUUUGCUUGGUUUACAGUUACAUUAUGCAACAGUCAUUAGAUUCAUCAAAUAUAUUUUAAUGUUACGCCAUUGUACUUUUUCUUGAAUAAAUAUGCUACAUGACCA
Molecule: long non-coding RNA, 3012 nt
Organism: Oncorhynchus kisutch (coho salmon)
Lineage: Eukaryota; Metazoa; Chordata; Actinopteri; Salmoniformes; Salmonidae
Exons: 6
Source: RefSeq, a predicted model, not a curated record